Molecule: ribosomal RNA, 772 nt
Filed under: uncultured Streptococcus sp.
Lineage: Bacteria; Bacillati; Bacillota; Bacilli; Lactobacillales; Streptococcaceae
Description: bacterial SSU rRNA
Rfam family: Bacterial small subunit ribosomal RNA
Source: RNAcentral
GCUUGCUUCUCUGGAUGAGUUGCGAACGGGUGAGUAACGCGUAGGUAACCUGCCUGGUAGCGGGGGAUAACUAUUGGAAACGAUAGCUAAUACCGCAUAAGAGUAGAUGUUGCAUGACAUUUGCUUAAAAGGUGCAAUUGCAUCACUACCAGAUGGACCUGCGUUGUAUUAGCUAGUUGGUGGGGUAACGGCUCACCAAGGCGACGAUACAUAGCCGACCUGAGAGGGUGAUCGGCCACACUGGGACUGAGACACGGCCCAGACUCCUACGGGAGGCAGCAGUAGGGAAUCUUCGGCAAUGGACGGAAGUCUGACCGAGCAACGCCGCGUGAGUGAAGAAGGUUUUCGGAUCGUAAAGCUCUGUUGUAAGAGAAGAACGAGUGUGAGAGUGGAAAGUUCACACUGUGACGGUAUCUUACCAGAAAGGGACGGCUAACUACGUGCCAGCAGCCGCGGUAAUACGUAGGUCCCGAGCGUUGUCCGGAUUUAUUGGGCGUAAAGCGAGCGCAGGCGGUUAGAUAAGUCUGAAGUUAAAGGCUGUGGCUUAACCAUAGUACGCUUUGGAAACUGUUUAACUUGAGUGCAAGAGGGGAGAGUGGAAUUCCAUGUGUAGCGGUGAAAUGCGUAGAUAUAUGGAGGAACACCGGUGGCGAAAGCGGCUCUCUGGCUUGUAACUGACGCUGAGGCUCGAAAGCGUGGGGAGCAAACAGGAUUAGAUAACCUGGUAGUCCACGCCGUAAACGAUGAGUGCUAGGUGUUAGACCCUUUCCGG